CGGAUGUGAAAGAAAAUGGUCUCCAAAAUAGAAUUUUCCGCUUUUCCAUUAACAUUUAACCUACAAAAAACAUGUAAAAUAAUUUGCUAUAAACAGGUGGUGCAAUUUGAUGAGUAAUCAUAUAUACAAAACAUCAAAAAAUAAAUUAACCUGCUAGCUUAAAGUUCCUCCCAUUGUUAGUAAUAACCAACAACAUUUUGUUCUCCAAUCCUUUCCACAAACCCAUCUAGGAGCUCAAAAACCUUUUCACCAGUCUUCAUAUAAGACGAAGCAUCAACAGACUCCAUAAACACCGUUCCUUUAGAACCGUUGACAAGAAAGUUAAUCAAGGUUCUUUGCUUCCUAUCUGUCCAUCCAUCCGGCAUUACCGAACAAGCGUACUUUAUCCACACAGUUCUAUGAGUUUCGACCCACUUCUCCACAUGUUGUACCUCAUUUUUUAGCAACGGAAUGCGAAGCUCAUGGUAUGAUGGAGGCUUUAAAUGCGGCCCAUAGUUCCCAACAGCCACAGGAAUCUCUUUAAAGGAGUCCAUAUUAGCCACAUUAAAAGCAACCCCAGCCUGGUAGAAAAACGCUGCAAUGGACUGUAUGGUUUUGGCUCGGAUCUCUUUAUUACAAGCAUCCUUGAUGCUUGUUUGAACUUGUUUUCCUUUACCUGUUUUUAAAAACAUUACAGACAACAAAACAGCCAUAAAAACACAACUGAAAUUCAUUUAAUGAAGAUACAAUCCGAGUCUGAGAUAGAAUUUAACACACCACUGAUUUAAUUAACUAAGACAGAACUUAAUACACGACUGAGUUAACUAACUGAGACAUUAACACAUGACUGAGGUAACAAUCUGAGACAGAAUUUAACACACAACUUAUUUGAUUAACUGAGACAGAAUUUAACACACCAAUGAUUUGAUUAACUGAGACAGAAUUUAACAUACAUGUAAUUAACUAUACCUUUUGAAAACAUCACAUCUAAUGGCCCUUUCACAUUAGUCUUCUGCCUCUUGUUUUGAUGAGCAUGUAUCUCUAUUACUUCAUCAUCCUCCUGUUCAUCAGCCAAAUCACCCAGGGCGUCAUUUGUUUUAUUGGCCUUUUGGCUCAAAACAUAUGUCAUCAACUCGUCUUUAACCUCCUGUGGAACCAAGGGCUGUUCAUAAAGCUCGCGACUCGUAGCUCGGCUCGUAGCUCGCUCGAAAGAAGCUCGAGAAAAACUAGCUAAAAAAACUCAAUUUGAGAUGACGUGAACCAAGCUGGCUCAUUUUGUAACCAAGCCCAGCUCGAGCUAAGCUCGGCUCGGCCCAUGGCUCGGCUCGUUCUUAGGCUCGUUUAACUCUGACGUAAAGCUCAAGCCAAGUUUAGCCUCCUGAAUUAAUUUCGAUCUUGAGCUCGGCCCCACCCUGGCUCGACUCGUUUAGCAUGAAAAAUUCCACCUUUCGUACAUGACUUGACGUUUCUGUUUCCUCCAAUUUGGUGUAGUUUAGCACGAAAAAUUCCACCUUUUGUAAUCUUGUUGCAUGAAACUGCAUUUGUAUCAUCAGGAUUUCUCAGAUGAUUAUACUUCCAUCCAGGGUUCGUUUUCCUGCUCUCUGAUGGUCCAACAUCUUGAGAAUCCAUAGCCUGUAGCAUAGUUCCCAUGGAUCAUGAAUAUGUCACUGAAUGAUGAAAGAAUAAAGAACUGAGUGAUCAUAUACCUGUAGUAUUUUUUUUGCCGGCAGAAAAAAACAGAACUGUGAAUGUUGUGGCUGUGUAUACGAGUUAUCUGUUAUAUACAGAAUGAAUAUUAUGUAAAGAUAAUAUAUCUCUUAAGUUUUUUAAAUUGAAAAUAUCUUUUAAAAAUAUAUACAGAUUUGAUUAGAUAUUAUUCUAAAAUAUUUAAAUUUAGCUGUAAUUAAAAUCUAGUUUGUUAUUAAAGAUAUUUUUUUUAAAGAACGUUGCUUUUUUUUUAUCUAGGAGACAAAAGCGGAACAUACGCAUCAUUACACAACCAUGUUGUGUAUUUGGGGUUGGGUUGAGUAACGGGUUCUGUGCCUUCUUUGUCUUUACCGGAUGCAGAGGAGGUUGUGAUGAUUGGUGGCGGGCAGGGAAUACUGCCAUUAACAUUGCCGAAUAGGCUGUGGGUGGUUAAAAAGGGUUGUAUCAUAAGUUUCCAAUGGCCAUAAUUUGUGGGGGAUAAGGUAAAGCCAAACUUAUGGGAAUUGUGUUAUGUUUUUUCUACAGUGGUGAAGGCAAUGAGUUGCUGAUCAGCCAUAGAAAGGGAAGAAAAAAAUAGUGACAGUGAACAGUACCGUGAAUAGUGACGACGAACAGUACCGUGAAUAGUGACGAUGAACAGUAGCGUGAAUAACAGUAGCGUAAUUGUGAUUGCUGGAAGGUGGCGGCUGAUUAGGGUUAAGCUCUGAUACCAAGAUAAACUUGGUAUAAUUGUAUAUCGAUUGUGUUAUGAUUGUGAUUACAAUGAGAUUACAUAUAGGAUAUAUAUAUAGACUAGGAUUACAAAGAUUUGGGUCGGCUAUAAUCAACUUAGGGUCGGGCCUAUACUAAGACAUAUAUCAACUAAUACUAAAGCAAAACCCUAAAUCCUAAAACCUAAACCUAAUCCUAAAUAUGUAUAUUAUAGGGUUCGAUGAGACGGUUCCAAUGCCGCUGGAAUGAGUCCAGUCGGAGUUCGUUUGAGUCGGUUCCCCACUUUUUUAGUGUUCCCCAUUGAACCCAACCCUAGAUAGUUAUAUGGUUCUAAUUUGUAUAAAUUUGGUAGUUGAGAACCGAGGUGAAUAAAGCUUUGGAGACUGCCCGUACCAGGAAACUCAUUGGUUCGAGUCUAGAGGCAAAGGUGUACCUUCAUAGCUCCGAUAAUAAGCUCGCUGAGAGAUUAAGGAAUAUGUGUGAAGCUAAAAUCGAUGCGGACUCCCUGCAUCGUAUAUUCAUAACGUCUCAGGUUGAGAUUCUUUCUACAUUGGAGGACGCACCAACAAAAAAUAUACCAUAUUCCGGAGAAUAUUUAAUUCAAGGAGAAAAUAAAAUAUGAAUCGGGGUGUCACGUGCAGAGAGUUUGAUAUGUGAAUGAUGCUGGAAAUUUUCACCUCAUGUUGGCUCGUUUGUUGAUCACCCGACGCUUUGCAAACGUUGCUAUGAUGUUAUUGCUGGUCAUCCACUUCCUGCUCUUGCAGCUGUUAGUUGACCUUUAGACGCGAAGUGGGAAGUAAAAUCGUGCAGAGUUUCAGAAUCGUGCAUGCUUCUGGAUACAUUUUCAGUUUGACCAUGUAGUUGGAUAUGUUACAGCUCAUUCAUAGUAAAGAAUUAAAUUUGAUCAUUUUGAAGUUAAAGGGAACUCUUAGCUUAGAAUCUACAAACAUAAAGGUUACAGACAUUUGCAUAUUAUAGUUUAUAGAUUAAAUAGUGUUUUAUUUAUCUGC
Molecule: long non-coding RNA, 3407 nt
Organism: Helianthus annuus (common sunflower)
Lineage: Eukaryota; Viridiplantae; Streptophyta; Magnoliopsida; Asterales; Asteraceae
Exons: 3
Source: RefSeq, a predicted model, not a curated record